UUCCACUUAUAUAAACAACUCAUUAUAUGUAAUAAUUAUUAUACAUACAAAUAGCUAUUGAUUAAAGGAGUCUUUUUGAUAUUUCUUUGCUUUCUGUGUCCUUAGGGAACAAAACAAUAGAAUUGUAGUGAAAAACUAUAAAUUUAAAUUAUUAAGUCAGUCAUCUGAAUGAAUGAAGAUCAUGUGUUUGUAUAUAUUUAUUUUUCUCUAAGCAGGUUGGCAACAUUGUACAAAUCACCAAGCCAGAAGGAAUCUACAGUACUGUUUCAAAUCACACCUCAGGGAUUUAGAGAUGCUGUUGUUGCUACUGCAUCUUCUUUGCAAACAGAAGGUUCGUUGAAUUCCCGGAAACGGUCACGAGAAUCAGAGGAAGAACAGGAGUCCAAAGACUAGUCUUAAAGUAUACAUAUAUGUUGAUGCUGUGAGAUGUAAUACAUAUAAGCAGUAGACUCUUUACUUUAAAAUAUAAACACACACUAUGGCACAUAUGAAUCAAGAGCAUGUGAAGUGAAGUGAAAAACACGGAAUGAGUAUGAUUCUCUGAAUUUUUCUAAAGCAGCUCUACCAUUAUAUUUUGCCCUGUUUUCAUUUUUAGUAACAGUCAGCAGAGAUGAUACAGGUAUUGUAUUUUUGCAAAUGUGGAAAGCUGAUCUUGUGUGACCAAUCUGAAUUUACCAUUCAGGCUGUUUUUUCCUCUUUUCUUUGUUAAUUGCUUAGAAAAUCCUAGGAAGAAAAGAGUUUGGUUUUUUUUUCACAUUCCUAUUGGGUUCUCCUCUUUAAAUGUAGUUUUGAUAAUUCUUAAGAAUGACUUGUUUUUGAGCCAUCUCUUACUUGGCAUCAUGGCUGCCCUCAGACCUCUAUUGAAGCCCAAUACCAUUAAAAAGAGAAUCAAGAAGUUCAUCCAGCACCAGUCAGACCCAUAUGUCAAAAUUAAGCACAACUGGCGGAAACCCAGAGUCAUGGACAAUAGGGUGCACAGAAGAUUCAAGGGCUAGAUCUUGAUGCCCAAAACUGUUCACAGGAGCAACAAGAAAACAAAGCACAUGCUGCCCUGUGGCUUCUGAAGUUCCUAGUCCACAAUGUCCAGGAGCUUGAGGUGCUCCUGAUAUGCAACAAAUCUUACUGCGCAGAGAUUGCUCACAAUGUCUCCUCCAGGAACCACAAAGCCACUGGAAAGACCAACCCAGCUGGCCAUCUGAGUUACCAGUGCCAAUGCUACUCUGCGCAGCCAAGAAAAUGAAUAGACCGCUUAUGUGCAUGUCGUAUUUGUGUUAAUAAAACCAUAAAACUACAAAAAAAGAAAAAGACUUGUUUUUACUAUUAUAAAGAAAAGCCAGCACCAUGAGUCAGCAUAUUAUUAUAUUCAGUUUUAAUGGUAGGAUACAAAUUUUAGAUGACCAAUCAGAUUUUAGUGACCCCAAUCCUAAAAUCUAAGCCUUUUUUUUUUUUUUUAAUGUUAUUUUAUGUUAAGGGAAGGACUUUGGAGCUGUUACCCUAUCUAGAAAAUGUCUAGAACGUUCAUCUUCCAGAAGAGUCAAGUUGAUAAACUCACAAUUAUUUAUUUCUACAUUUUUGAAACGUGGUGUGAUCCAUUCUAGAAUUCUAGAUGUAUUGACAUUUUCCUUUGAAUAAUCUUAACACUGUUUGAAUAAAUUAAAAAUUUGGA
Molecule: non-coding RNA, 1666 nt
Organism: Leptonychotes weddellii (Weddell seal)
Lineage: Eukaryota; Metazoa; Chordata; Mammalia; Carnivora; Phocidae
Source: RefSeq, a predicted model, not a curated record